GAUGAACGCUGGCGGCGUGCCUAACACAUGCAAGUCGAACGGACAUUUUUUGGAAAGUUCUUCGGAACUGGAAUCUAAAUGUUAGUGGCGGACGGGUGAGUAACGCGUGAGCAAUCUGCCUUUCAGAGGGGGAUAACAGCCGGAAACGGCUGCUAAUACCGCAUAAUGCAUUGGAUUCGCAUGUUUCUGAUGCCAAAGAUUUUAUCGCUGAAAGAUGAGCUCGCGUCUGAUUAGCUAGUUGGCGGGGUAACGGCCCACCAAGGCGACGAUCAGUAGCCGGACUGAGAGGUUGAACGGCCACAUUGGGACUGAGACACGGCCCAGACUCCUACGGGAGGCAGCAGUGGGGAAUAUUGCGCAAUGGGGGCAACCCUGACGCAGCAACGCCGCGUGAUUGAUGAAGGUCUUCGGAUUGUAAAAAUCUUUAAUCAGGGACGAAGAAAAUGACGGUACCUGAAGAGUAAGCUCCGGCUAACUACGUGCCAGCAGCCGCGGUAAUACGUAGGGAGCAAGCGUUAUCCGGAUUUACUGGGUGUAAAGGGCGUGUAGGCGGGCUUGCAAGUUGGAAGUGAAAUCUCGGGGCUUAACCCCGAAACUGCUUUCAAAACUGCGAGUCUUGAGUGAUGGAGAGGCAGGCGGAAUUCCCAGUGUAGCGGUGAAAUGCGUAGAUAUUGGGAGGAACACCAGUGGCGAAGGCGGCCUGCUGGACAUUAACUGACGCUGAGGCGCGAAAGCGUGGGGAGCAAACAGG
RNAcentral lists this ribosomal RNA (751 nucleotides) under uncultured bacterium. Its description in RNAcentral is "bacterial SSU rRNA". It matches the Rfam family "Bacterial small subunit ribosomal RNA", at positions 28 to 776 of the family's 1533-position model. The record is from RNAcentral.